This is a small nucleolar RNA of Sorex fumeus (smoky shrew), 104 nucleotides long. RefSeq annotates it as small nucleolar RNA U13. Lineage: Eukaryota; Metazoa; Chordata; Mammalia; Eulipotyphla; Soricidae. The transcript has a single exon. The record is from RefSeq and is a predicted model, not a curated record.
ACCCUUUCUCCAUUUAUAAACAUGAAGAUUGGGUGUUCACAUUCUCAUGUGACAUAUACAUCCCUGAAAUCUUGUUAUGUAUUUGGCACAUUAUCCAUCUGACA